GAUGAAGAACGUAGCGAAAUGCGAUAAGUAGUGUGAAUUGCAGAAUUCAGUGAAUCAUCGAAUCUUUGAACGCACAUUGCGCCUUCUGGUAUUCCGGAAGGCAUGCCUGUUCGAGAGUCAUUAACAACCGUUUCGAUCCCUUUCUUUCAGAAAUUACAAAGAGGAAAAGGGUUUGGUUAUGGUGGAGGAGGGAAAGGGAGCGUUUAGCCUGUAAAAAAAGAGGCUGUGUUCCGCCUCCCCCCCAAAAUUGUACAGGCGGUCGUGUGCGCCCACGCAUCGAGGUGUUGUAAAAGCUGCCACGGCACUUUUCACCUGUGCAGUGCGAGAUUGGCCAGCCGGUUUAAAAACCCCUCCAAACAAUCAAAGGUUGACCUCGGAUCAGGUAGGGAUACCCGCUGAACUUAAGCAUAUCAAUAAGCGGAGGA
RNAcentral lists this unclassified non-coding RNA (425 nucleotides) under soil metagenome. Its description in RNAcentral is "partial contains 5.8S ribosomal RNA, internal transcribed spacer 2, and large subunit ribosomal RNA". The stretch from base 1 to 120 matches the Rfam family "5.8S ribosomal RNA", at positions 35 to 154 of the family's 154-position model. The record is from RNAcentral.